CCUACGGGGGGCUGCAGUGGGGAAUAUUGGACAAUGGGGGGAACCCUGAUCCAGCCAUGCCGCGUGUGUGAAGAAGGCCCUCGGGUUGUAAAGCACUUUCAGUGAGGAAGAACGCCUGGUGGUUAAUACCCAUCAGGAAAGACAUCACUCACAGAAGAAGCACCGGCUAACUCCGUGCCGGCAGCCGCGGUAAUACGGAGGGUGCGAGCGUUAAUCGGAAUUACUGGGCGUAAAGCGCGCGUAGGUGGCUUGAUAAGCCGGUUGUGAAAGCCCCGGGCUCAACCUGGGAACGGCAUCCGGAACUGUCAAGCUAGAGUGCAGGAGAGGAAGGUAGAAUUCCCGGUGUAGCGGUGAAAUGCGUAGAGAUCGGGAGGAAUACCAGUGGCGAAGGCGGCCUUCUGGACUGACACUGACACUGAGGUGCGAAAGCGUGGGUAGCAAACAGGAUUAGAUACCCUUGUAGUC
RNAcentral lists this ribosomal RNA (465 nucleotides) under Vreelandella stevensii. RNAcentral's name for it is "partial 16S ribosomal RNA". It matches the Rfam family "Bacterial small subunit ribosomal RNA", at positions 338 to 795 of the family's 1533-position model. The record is from RNAcentral. Lineage: Bacteria; Pseudomonadati; Pseudomonadota; Gammaproteobacteria; Oceanospirillales; Halomonadaceae.